CCAUUACCAGGAAUAACAGAUAAAAAAAAAAUCCCACCUUCUAGUUUUUCAAUAUGUUUAGUAAUGCAAAGAAUAUUUUAAAAAAGAAUAGGUUGGUGGUCUCACAUUUCAAGGUAAGGCACACCUUGUCAGGAAGGGAAAGCUGAGAUGGGAAAUUCAUCUGCUCUUUGUAGAGCUUGCCAUUUUUCCAAAAGUAUCCUUCUCCACAAUUCUGGGAUGAUUAUCUUGCCUGGUUUCUGUGUCAAUUGUGUUUUUCCCCCAAGAAUGGAAGGUUUUAAGUGAGGAAUGACAGACCAAGGUCACCAUGGAUGUCCACAGAGUUUUCCUAAAGAACCUUUGUGUGCCCAUUAGUGGAGUGUCAGGAAAGAAACCAAUUCCACUCAUAAUACCAUUUUGAGCAUCUCUUACAUAUGUGAAGCAGGUUUUUGCCUGUAUCUAUAAAACUGUGGUCUUUACACUUACCUUGUGAGUUUAUUGUGUGGGUUAAUUAAGUAAAUGCAUUUAAGCUCCUAUAAGAGUGUUUAGAAUACAGAAAGACAUUCUGUACUUUAUAUAUAUUUAUUUGUUAGCUCAGUGUUUCUCCAAUUUUAGUGUUCAUAAGAAUCAUCUGGGAUCUCGUUAAAAUGUGGAUGAUAGCUCAGUAGGUCUGGGUUGGGGUCUGAGAUCCUGCAUUUCUAACAAGCACCCAGGUGAUGUCAGUGCAGCUGAUCCACAGACUGCACUUGGAGUAGCCAAGAUUAGGCAGUGAGUUAUCUCCUUGGUUAGAUACAACUGUGACUAGAGAGCAAUGAAGUUUUAGUCCUGAUGGAGGGUUAUCCUACUGCUGAUCCAGAAGCCUCUGAGAAGUGGCACAACACUAUUUCACAUGUAUUUCUUGCCAGUAAACUCUCUGGAAAUCUGAAGGAUUCUAUAAUGUAUCACAGAAGUAAUUAUAACAUGUAAUUCAUAACCUAAAGUCCAAUGAACUAUAAUCCCACCAGCCCAUUUACACUUCGAAGAGCGUUACGGCAUUUGGGAGAAAUGAGUGCUCCAGGGGAGUAGAAUUUCAUUUGGUGAAUUCAGAAACCAUUUUUGGAUUACACUACAGAGAAUCUUCGAGACGAAGUCUACUUGCUGUGUUGCUGGGAAACCUCUCAAGGAUUUCAUUUCAGGGAUUUUUUUUUAGCAAGAUCCAGGUGCUUGCCAUGACCGGUGACAGGUUGCUGUGGAACAUUAGUUGCGUGGUCAUUCAUCCUGUUUGCAAGGUUUACCUACCGACCGACCUUGCCUGGGCUGUUACUUCAGGUAUCAAGCCUUAACUCCUUCUGCACUUAAAAAUCCUUCUAUCUCAUUGGCUACCUUUGCUCUCAUUUCUAAUUGGAACUAAGGAGAGAGACAGAGCAUGAACGGGCGAGGGGCAGAGAGAGAGGGAGA
Molecule: long non-coding RNA, 1413 nt
Organism: Felis catus (domestic cat)
Lineage: Eukaryota; Metazoa; Chordata; Mammalia; Carnivora; Felidae
Exons: 3
Source: RefSeq, a predicted model, not a curated record